CCUACGGGUGGCAGCAGUGAGGAAUAUUGGUCAAUGGGCGAGAGCCUGAACCAGCCAAGUCGCGUGCGGGAGUAAUGCCCUAUGGGUUGUAAACUUCUUUUAUAAAGGAAUAAAGCGAGGCACGUGUGCCUUUUUGCAUGUACUUUAUGAAUAAGGAUCGGCUAACUCCGUGCCAGCAGCCGCGGUAAUACGGAGGAUCCGAGCGUUAUCCGGAUUUAUUGGGUUUAAAGGGAGCGUAGAUGGGUGUUUAAGUAAGUUGUGAAAGUUUGCGGCUCAACCGUAAAAUUGCAAUUGAUACUGGCAGUCUUGAGUACAGUUGAGGUAGGCGGAAUUCGUGGUGUAGCGGUGAAAUGCUUAGAUAUCACGAAGAACCCCGAUUGCGAAGGCAGCUUACUAAACUAUGACUGACAUUGAUGCUCGAAAGUGUGGGUAUCAAACAGGAUUAGAUACCCCAGUAGUC
RNAcentral lists this ribosomal RNA (460 nucleotides) under uncultured bacterium. Its description in RNAcentral is "partial 16S ribosomal RNA". It matches the Rfam family "Bacterial small subunit ribosomal RNA", at positions 338 to 795 of the family's 1533-position model. The record is from RNAcentral.